AGCAGCCGCGGUAAUUCCAGCUCCAAUAGCGUAUAUUAAAGUUGUUGCAGUUAAAAAGCUCGUAGUUGAAUUUCGGGGCCAGUAGGUCGGUCGUGCCACUGGUAUGAACUGGUUUUACUGAUUCCUCCCUCUUGAAGAACUGUAAUGCCAUUAAUUUGGUGUUGCAGGGAAUCAGGACUGUUACUUUGAAAAAAUUAGAGUGUUUAAAGCAGGCUUUAGCUUGAAUACAUUAGCAUGGAAUAAUGAAAUAGGAACGUUUGAUCCUAUUUUGUUGGUUUCUAGGAUUGACGUAAUGAUUAAUAGGGAUAGUUGGGGGCAUUAGUAUUCAAUUGUCAGAGGUGAAAUUCUUGGAUUUAUUGAAGACUUAACUACUUGACCGAAAGCAUUUGACCAAGGAUGGUUUUCAUUAAUCUAAGAACGUAAAGUUAGGGGAGUUACGAAGACGGAAUCGAAG
This 454-nucleotide ribosomal RNA is filed under the name uncultured Glomus. RNAcentral's name for it is "SSU rRNA". It matches the Rfam family "Eukaryotic small subunit ribosomal RNA", at positions 569 to 1023 of the family's 1831-position model. Lineage: Eukaryota; Fungi; Glomeromycota; Glomeromycetes; Glomerales; Glomeraceae. The record is from RNAcentral.